UCCUACGGGACGCAGCAGUGGGGAAUAUUGCACAAUGGGGGAAACCCUGAUGCAGCGACGCCGCGUGAGCGAUGAAGUAUUUCGGUAUGUAAAGCUCUAUCAGCAGGGAAGAAAAUGACGGUACCUGACUAAGAAGCCCCGGCUAACUACGUGCCAGCAGCCGCGGUAAUACGUAUGGAGCAAGCGUUAUCCGGAAUUACUGAGUGUAAAGGGAGCGUAGACGGAUGUGCAAGUCUGAUGUGAAAGGCGGGGGCUCAACCCCUGGACUGCAUUGGAAACUGUAAAUCUUGAGUGCCGGAGAGGUA
Molecule: ribosomal RNA, 305 nt
Filed under: uncultured bacterium
Lineage: Bacteria
Description: bacterial SSU rRNA
Rfam family: Bacterial small subunit ribosomal RNA
Source: RNAcentral